Molecule: non-coding RNA, 509 nt
Organism: Macaca mulatta (Rhesus monkey)
Lineage: Eukaryota; Metazoa; Chordata; Mammalia; Primates; Cercopithecidae
Source: RefSeq, a predicted model, not a curated record
AAAAAAAUAAAAAAAGAAAAAAGAAAAGAAAAGAAAAGAAUAUUCUCUCCACCUACAUUCAUUACUGUUUCUGGGAAGAGUUCUGAUAAAUUCAGUUUUUGCGACUUUGUUCCAUUUCCAGUGAUAUUCUUGAAUCCCUUAUGAUUGUGGUGACCCAGCCAGCUUCCCAGCUGGGAUGCUCCUUCAUCUGGUUCUGCCUAACUCACCCCCGAGCCCCCACUGCCUUGGCUCUAAGCACUCAAGAUGGAAUGGCAGUAGGAUCCCAACACUAAUAUCUGUCCAGAACUGGUCAUCAGCUGGCUUGAGUUCUCCCAUUCUGCCUGUGCCUACCCUUAGCAAGGGGAAGAACAAGAUGGAAGAGAAGGAAGAGACCUGAUUGAACCAGCCAAUAGAUAAUUAGAAGCUGACUAUUUUGCAAUAAUACAGCACAACAGCAAUAAAUAAAUCAAUCACUUGGGGGGUGGAGAAUGGCUUUCCUAUAAUCAGCUAUUAAAGGCUUGUACCACUAA